RNAcentral lists this ribosomal RNA (253 nucleotides) under uncultured bacterium. RNAcentral describes it as "partial 16S ribosomal RNA". It matches the Rfam family "Bacterial small subunit ribosomal RNA", at positions 524 to 776 of the family's 1533-position model. The record is from RNAcentral.
UACGUAGGGGGCAAGCGUUAUCCGGAUUUACUGGGUGUAAAGGGAGCGUAGACGGCAGUGCAAGUCUGGAGUGAAAGGCGGGGGCUCAACCCCCGGACUGCUCUGGAAACUGUACGGCUGGAGUGCAGGAGAGGUAAGUGGAAUUCCUAGUGUAGCGGUGAAAUGCGUAGAUAUUAGGAGGAACACCGGUGGCGAAGGCGGUCUGCUGGACAGCAACUGACGGUGAGGCGCGAAAGCGUGGGGAGCAAACAGG